This 45-nucleotide non-coding RNA is filed under the name Schistosoma margrebowiei. Lineage: Eukaryota; Metazoa; Platyhelminthes; Trematoda; Strigeidida; Schistosomatidae. The record is from RNAcentral.
AUCCAGCUGAUGAGCCCCGAAUGGGGUGAAACGCGCAUCCUGUAU